CGUGGGUAACCUGCCCAAGAGACUGGGAUAACACCUGGAAACAGAUGCUAAUACCGGAUAACAACACUAGACGCAUGUCUAGAGUUUAAAAGAUGGUUCUGCUAUCACUCUUGGAUGGACCUGCGGUGCAUUAGCUAGUUGGUAAGGUAACGGCUUACCAAGGCAACGAUGCAUAGCCGAGUUGAGAGACUGAUCGGCCACAUUGGGACUGAGACACGGCCCAAACUCCUACGGAAGGCAGCAG
Molecule: ribosomal RNA, 244 nt
Filed under: uncultured bacterium
Lineage: Bacteria
Description: partial 16S ribosomal RNA
Rfam family: Bacterial small subunit ribosomal RNA
Source: RNAcentral